Molecule: microRNA, 21 nt
Filed under: Gadus morhua (Atlantic cod)
Lineage: Eukaryota; Metazoa; Chordata; Actinopteri; Gadiformes; Gadidae
Description: gmo-miR-11205-5p
Source: miRBase by way of RNAcentral
UCUCUCUGUUCUUUAUCAAUG